AGUCAAACCACUGGCUCAGUAGAGAUGCUGCAUUGUUGGGGAGCAGGAAGAUUCUAUGAGAAAAGAUAUUAAGACCCUCCGGUUUGGCCAUAUCAUUCCCCUAAUAGUGAUUUAAUACUCUGAGUUUGCGUGCUCUCUUCCCACUGAUGCUCUGAAUAUUUAGGUUUCCUCCCUCUGGCUUAGAGGCAGACCCUGUUUUCAAUCAAGGAUCAACCAACCAAAGGAUCCCCUUUGCAAGAAGUCACUUCCUUCCAAGGCCACAUGAACAUUUUGAAGUCACUCACAGUCUUGCCUUGGGAGGUUCUGGAGUUUAUAGACUGCUUCGGAAAGAGGCUUCGCUUUGGAAUUAAAGGACGUCUGUGUGCGCGUUCACCCAAGAGGGGCUGAUCCC
RNAcentral lists this long non-coding RNA (391 nucleotides) under Monodelphis domestica (gray short-tailed opossum). Its description in RNAcentral is "lncRNA (ENSMODG00000032974.2)". The record is from RNAcentral. Lineage: Eukaryota; Metazoa; Chordata; Mammalia; Didelphimorphia; Didelphidae.